AUUGAACGCUGGCGGCACGCCUAACACGUGCAAGUCGAGCGGUAGCAGGACCUGUAGCAAUACAGGUUGCUGACGAGCGGCGGACGGGUGAGUAAUACGUAGGAACUUGCCUUUUAGUGGGGGAUAACUAAGGGAAACUUUAGCUAAUACCGCAUAUUCUCGAGAGAGGAAAGCUGCCGUAAGGUGGCGCUAGAAGAGAGGCCUGCGUCCGAUUAGCUAGUUGGUGAGGUAAGAGCUCACCAAGGCGAUGAUCGGUAACUGGGCUGAGAGGACGACCAGUCACACUGGGACUGGGACGCGGCCAAGACUCCUACGGGAGGCAGCAGUGGGGAAUAUUGGACAAUGGGGGCAACCCUGAUCCAGCGAUGCCGCGUGAGUGAAGAAGGCCCUCGGGUCGUAAAGCUCUUUAGGUUGGGAAGAAGGGUGUUGGAGGAAAUGCCGAUACUUUGACGGUACCGACAGAAUAAGCACCGGCAAACUCUGUGCCAGCAGCCGCAGUAA
RNAcentral lists this ribosomal RNA (501 nucleotides) under uncultured bacterium. Its description in RNAcentral is "partial 16S ribosomal RNA". It matches the Rfam family "Bacterial small subunit ribosomal RNA", at positions 29 to 523 of the family's 1533-position model. The record is from RNAcentral.